Molecule: small RNA, 90 nt
Filed under: Flavobacterium phragmitis
Lineage: Bacteria; Pseudomonadati; Bacteroidota; Flavobacteriia; Flavobacteriales; Flavobacteriaceae
Description: Flavo-1 RNA
Rfam family: Flavo-1 RNA
Source: RNAcentral
GCCUAGCCCAGAUAGAAGCGGUAUCCUUUUUCUGGUCUCGUUCCUAAAAACGAGACCAGGAAAAGAUACAAGCGGAUAGCUGGAAAUUGC